RNAcentral lists this ribosomal RNA (461 nucleotides) under uncultured Desulfurispora sp. RNAcentral's name for it is "bacterial SSU rRNA". It matches the Rfam family "Bacterial small subunit ribosomal RNA", at positions 923 to 1382 of the family's 1533-position model. Lineage: Bacteria; Bacillati; Bacillota; Clostridia; Eubacteriales; Desulfurisporaceae. The record is from RNAcentral.
GCACAAGCGGUGGAGCAUGUGUUUAAUUCGACGCAACGCGAAGAACCUUACCAGGGAUUGACAUCCCCGUGACCGGACAUGAAAGUGUCCUUUCACCUUCGGGUGACGGGGAGACAGGUGGUGCAUGGUUGUCGUCAGCUCGUGUCGUGAGAUGUUGGGUUAAGUCCCGCAACGAGCGCAACCCCUACGUUUAGUUGCUAACAGGUAAGCUGAGCACUCUGAAUGGACUGCCGUUGACAAAACGGAGGAAGGUGGGGAUGACGUCAAAUCAUCAUGCCCCUUAUACCCUGGGCUACACACGUGCUACAAUGGUCCGUACAGAGGGUAGCGACACGGCGACGUGAAGCGAAUCCCUUAAAGCGGAUCUCAGUUCGGAUUGCAGGCUGCAACUCGCCUGCAUGAAGUCGGAACCGCUAGUAAUCGCAGGUCAGCAUACUGCGGUGAAUACGUUCCCGGGCCUU